This 747-nucleotide long non-coding RNA is filed under the name Anas platyrhynchos platyrhynchos (common mallard). RNAcentral describes it as "lncRNA (ENSAPLG00000017530.1)". Lineage: Eukaryota; Metazoa; Chordata; Aves; Anseriformes; Anatidae. The record is from RNAcentral.
CUCCUUUCUCUUCCUCCUCCCCCUCAUCCUUGUCUUCUUCCUCCCAGAGCUGGAAGUCCUGACACACAUCAUGAUCACUAGGUAUGUUAGUGGAAGGAAGGCCUGCAAAUGUAUGGAGUCUCUUUUCUUAGGGUUAAGCUAGAAUUCAGGCCUGAACAUCCUGAUCCUCCUUAGUGCCUAGACAAAGACUCUCAAUUUGCUCUUAACCUCCUUAGUGCCUAGACAAAGACUCUCAAUUUGCUCUUAACCAUGAGCAACCCACAUGCUACCCAACCUUGUGCGCAGGACUGAACUUUAACUCAGAUCAUGCUCCUACAGGCACCCUUGGCUCAUCUGCAUAGCAAGCUCAGAUCCACACUGUACUGUGGAUCACAAAAGACCAUACAGAUAUGACUAUGAUGCCAUGAUUGCUCUUGGAAGCAGGUUUUAUCAGAGUAAGGAUCUUCUCUUAAAUGGCAGUGAUAUGUCUCAAGAGGUCAUGGGAUCACCAGACAGUCCCUGCCACCAAGAAGGCCUGAGGACAUGUUGCUUUUCAGCCUGGAUACUUUCUUUACUCAUUUGAGGAGAUGCUGUUUCCACAUUUCUGAGGAAAACAUGAAGCAGCCAGGAGAAACCCAGCAGAGACCAGCACAUGGAGAGAAGUCAAAUCAGCACGGCACAGGGCAGCAAGCUCUUACUGCAGGGCACCAUGACAGACUGAUGAAGAAAUAUAGACUGUUUCAGGCUCUAUUUGUGUUUGAUGCAUGA